GGAAGGAUCAUUAACAAAUCAGUUAUAUGGCGAAAGCCAUAUAUAUUCACCCUAAGCCUGGGAUUGUACAUUGUACAGGACCGGGCUUUGGUUGGGCUACAUUCCUUGUGGAUGUGGCUCCGGCAAGUACGCUUCGGCGCACUGGCCACAUAGACGCUUGUAUUGUUUGACAGAGUAAUUAUUGCUUAAAAAUGACAACUUUUAACAAUGGAUCUCUUGGCUCUUGCAACGAUGAAGAACGCAGUGAAAUGCGAAAAGUAAUGCGAUUUGCAUGAAUCUGUGAGUCAUCAAGUCUUUGAACGCACCUUGCACCGUAUGAGUAAUCGUACGGUAUACCUGUUUGAGAAUCGUAAAACUCUCUUUCCAUCUUUUUGAUGGGAGACUUGUCGGUUGUGCCCCUCGGGGUACUCUGAUUAAAGGCAGUAGGUCUGGAUCAGGCUAGUGGCCUGGGACACUGUGUGUUAGAGACGUCGCGUUAGCUGACUUGUCUUCUCAUAGUGCGUCCUAGGCUAUUAAAGCUGGCUUGGUCAAGGCCUCUACAGUCGGCACAUACUUGUAUGUGUUGACAACCCCCCUUUUUGAUCUCAAAUCAGGUAAGGCUACCCGCUGAACUUAAGCAUAUCAGUAAGCGGAGGAAAAGAAACUAACAAGGAUUCCCCUAGUAACGGCGAGCGAAGCGGGAAGAGCUCAAAUUUAAAAUCUGGUAGGCUUUGCCUGCUCGAAUUGUAGUUUAAAGAGGCGUUAUCUGGCUGCUAUCUGGUGCUCAAGUCCCUUGGAAUAGGGCGUCACAGAGGGUGAGAACCCCGUCUGGGCAUUGGGUAGUGGUCUAUAUGAGGCGCUCUCUACGAGUCGGGUUGUUUGGGAAUGCAGCUCAAAAUGGGUGGUAAAUUUCAUCUAAGGCUAAAUACUGGCAAGAGACCGAUAGCGAACAAGUACCGUGAGGGAAAGAUGAAAAGCACCUUGAAAAGGGAGUUAAAUAGUGCGUGAAAUUGUUAAAAGGGAAACGAUUGAGACCAGUAUUGCUGUUGGCCGUUCAGCGACGUGUUGGUGCAAGCCUGCGCGUCGUGUACUCGGUCAGCGGCGAGUCAGCGUCAGUUUGGGCUUCCGGAGAGAGGUCAGAGGAAGAUGGGGUUUGCUUUCGGGCUAACCUUUUAUAGACUCUGGCUGGCACGGGAGCCUGGACUGAGGUGUGCGACUGUCGUACUCUCGGCUUGAGACCAGCCCCCAAGGCAACGGACUACACGUAGACCGGUGCUACAAGGGACGGAGGUAGGGCCGAGCAGGCAGUUCCAGGAUGCUGACGAAAUGGUCUUAAACGACCCGUCUUGAAACACGGACCAAGGAGUCCAACAUAUAUGCGAGUAUUUGGGUGGCAAACCCGAGUGCGUAAUGAAAGUGAUCUGGAUGAGAGCCGUUCUUCGGGGCGGUGCAUCAUCGACCGAAUCCUGAUGUCUUCUGACGGGUUUGAGUAAGAGCAUAUCUGUUGGGACCCGAAAGGUAGUGAACUAUGCCUGGAUAGGAUGAAGCCAGAGGAAACUCUGGUGGAGGUCCGUAGCCGUUCUGACGUGCAAAUCGAUGGUCAAAUCUGGGUAUAGGGGCGAAAGACUAAUCGAACUACCUAGUAGCUGGUUCCCUC
RNAcentral lists this unclassified non-coding RNA (1636 nucleotides) under uncultured fungus. Its description in RNAcentral is "sequence contains 18S rRNA gene, ITS1, 5.8S rRNA gene, ITS2, 28S rRNA gene". The stretch from base 580 to 1636 matches the Rfam family "Eukaryotic large subunit ribosomal RNA", at positions 1 to 961 of the family's 3401-position model. The record is from RNAcentral. Lineage: Eukaryota; Fungi.